AUUGAACGCUGGCGGCAGGCCUAACACAUGCAAGUCGAACGGUAACAGGAAGAAGCCUGCUUCUUUGCUGACGAGUGGCGGACGGGUGAGUAAUGUCUGGGAAACUGCCUGAUGGAGGGGGAUAACUACUGGAAACGGUAGCUAAUACCGCAUAACGUCGCAAGACCAAGAGGGGGACCUUCGGGCCUCUUGCCAUCGGAUGUGCCCAGAUGGGAUUAGCUAGUAGGUGGGGUAACGGCUCACCUAGGCGACGAUCCCUAGCUGGUCUGAGAGGAUGACCAGCCACACUGGAACUGAGACACGGUCCAGACUCCUACGGGAGGCAGCAGUGGGGAAUAUUGCACAAUGGGCGCAAGCCUGAUGCAGCCAUGCCGCGUGUAUGAAGAAGGCCUUCGGGUUGUAAAGUACUUUCAGCGGGGAGGAAGGGAGUAAAGUUAAUACCUUUGCUCAUUGACGUUACCCGCAGAAGAAGCACCGGCUAACUCCGUG
This 489-nucleotide ribosomal RNA is filed under the name uncultured bacterium. RNAcentral describes it as "partial 16S ribosomal RNA". It matches the Rfam family "Bacterial small subunit ribosomal RNA", at positions 30 to 507 of the family's 1533-position model. The record is from RNAcentral.